Molecule: unclassified non-coding RNA, 252 nt
Filed under: Taphrina carpini
Lineage: Eukaryota; Fungi; Ascomycota; Taphrinomycetes; Taphrinales; Taphrinaceae
Description: partial internal transcribed spacer region
Rfam family: Eukaryotic small subunit ribosomal RNA (bases 1-46)
Source: RNAcentral
AAGUCGUAACAAGGUUUCCGUAGGUGAACCUGCGGAAGGAUCAUUAAUGAAGUCUGGGCUUCGGCCCUCUCUCUUCUACACACUUGUGAACACACACCGUUGCUUUGGCAGGUCUCCGGACGGGGUUCUAAACCCUCGAAGGUCAGGUCGAAAGACGCCUGCCAGAGACAUUUACACACCUUUUUUAAUUCGUCUGAAUUUUGUUUUAUACAAACUAUAAAAAAACUUUCAACAAUGGAUCUCUUGGCUCUG